This is a long non-coding RNA of Danio aesculapii, 649 nucleotides long. RefSeq lists it as uncharacterized. The transcript is spliced from 4 exons. NCBI's taxonomy places the organism in Eukaryota, Metazoa, Chordata, Actinopteri, Cypriniformes, Danionidae. The record is from RefSeq and is a predicted model, not a curated record.
AUUCUGGAUUUAUUAUAAAAUAUUAAGAAGAUUUCGCUAAUAUAACUAAGAUUUAAAUUUUACUUAUUUUUUUAAGCAAACUAGUGCAAUUACUAAGCUUAAUUUGAGAAACCAGUUAAGCUAAUAAAAUUGAGGAAAGAUGGCUUCACGUUUAUUUUAAGAAAAUUCACUCAAUUAUGUGGAUUUGAUUGAGAUGUUUGCAUUUGAAUCUCAACAACGGCAGUGAUCAGACGACAUUUUGAAGGAGCAGAUCAACAGCGAGCAUGUUAAGAGUUUAAUGAAGAAAACUUUCGCAGUGUUUUCCCACUAAAGAGGAGCAGUUUAUUGAGGCAGAUUUUGAUAAAGAGAAUGGGUGCCAUACAUCAGACCUCACAUUAAAUCAGGGAUGAAACGAGAGAUGUCGUCCUCUGUUGCUGGUCUAUCUGUAUGAAUAAGAGGAAGAGCUCAUCCAGGAGUGCAAUUGUGGGAAUGCACAGAGAAUUGCUGUCUGUCAGAGGGAUGACCAACCAUGAGGACUUCUGCAUUGUCUUGGAGGAUAAGUGAGUUAUGGCUAGCCUGGAAAAUCUAGAAUCGCUGAACUGGAUUUAUACAAAUAUUCCACAAAUUAAAAUCACUUACAAAGAAAUGAAUAUUAAGUUUGCAAUACACA